RNAcentral lists this ribosomal RNA (253 nucleotides) under uncultured bacterium. RNAcentral describes it as "partial 16S ribosomal RNA". It matches the Rfam family "Bacterial small subunit ribosomal RNA", at positions 524 to 776 of the family's 1533-position model. The record is from RNAcentral.
CACGUAGGGCGCGAGCGUUGUCCGGAAUUAUUGGGCGUAAAGAGCUCGUAGGCGGCCUGUUGCGUCCGCUGUGAAAGCCCGGGGCUUAACCCCGGGUCGGCAGUGGAUACGGGCAGGCUAGAGGUAGGUAGGGGAGAAUGGAAUUCCCGGUGUAGUGGUGGAAUGCGUAGAUAUCGGGAGGAACACCAGUGGCGAAGGCGGUUGCCUGGGGCUUUGCUGACGCUGAUGCGCGAAAGCGUGGGGAGCGAUCCGG